This 515-nucleotide ribosomal RNA is filed under the name uncultured haloarchaeon. RNAcentral's name for it is "bacterial SSU rRNA". It matches the Rfam family "Archaeal small subunit ribosomal RNA", at positions 345 to 859 of the family's 1478-position model. Lineage: Archaea; Methanobacteriati; Methanobacteriota; Halobacteria; Halobacteriales; Halobacteriaceae. The record is from RNAcentral.
AACCUUUACACUGCACGACAGUGCGAUAGGGGGACACCGAGUGCGAGGGCAUAGAGCCCUCGCUUUUCUGAACCUUAAGGUGGUUCAGGAACAAGGGCUGGGCAAGACCGGUGCCAGCCGCCGCGGUAACACCGGCAGCCCAAGUGAUGGCCGAUUUUAUUGGGCCUAAAGCGUCCGUAGCUGGCCGCGCAAGUUCGUCGGGAAAUCCACGCGCUUAACGUGUGGGCGUCCGGCGAAAACUGUGCGGCUUGGGACCGGAAGAUCUGAGGGGUACGUCUGGGGUAGGAGUGAAAUCCCGUAAUCCUGGACGGACCACCGAUGGCGAAAGCACCUCAGAAGGACGGAUCCGACAGUGAGGGACGAAAGCUAGGGUCUCGAACCGGAUUAGAUACCCGGGUAGUCCUAGCCGUAAACGAUGCUCGCUAGGUGUGGCACAGGCUACGAGCCUGUGCUGUGCCGUAGGGAAGCCGUGAAGCGAGCCGCCUGGGAAGUACGUCUGCAAGGAUGAAACUUAA